GAAUCUUCCGCAAUGGACGAAAGUCUGACGGAGCAACGCCGCGUGAGCGAAGAAGGUCUUCGGAUCGUAAAGCUCUGUUGUCAGGGAAGAACAAGUACGAGAGUAACUGCUCGUACCUUGACGGUACCUGACCAGACAGCCCCGGCUAACUACGUGCCCGCAGCCGCGGUAAUCCGUAGGUGGCAAGCGUUGUCCGGAAUCAUUGGGCGUAAAGCGCGCGCAGGCGGUCCUUUAAGUCUGAUGUGAAAGCCCGCGGCUUAACCGCGGAGGGUCAUUGGAAACUGGAGGACUUGAGUGCAGAAGAGGAGAGUGGAAUUCCACGUGUAGCGGUGAAAUGCGUAGAGAUGUGGAGGAACACCAGUGGCGAAGGCGACUCUCUGGUCUGUAACUGACGCUGAGGCGCGAAAGCGUGGGGAGCAAAC
This 422-nucleotide ribosomal RNA is filed under the name uncultured bacterium. RNAcentral's name for it is "bacterial SSU rRNA". It matches the Rfam family "Bacterial small subunit ribosomal RNA", at positions 359 to 773 of the family's 1533-position model. The record is from RNAcentral.